Molecule: ribosomal RNA, 447 nt
Filed under: uncultured bacterium
Lineage: Bacteria
Description: partial 16S ribosomal RNA
Rfam family: Bacterial small subunit ribosomal RNA
Source: RNAcentral
AGCGAACGCUGGCGGCAGGCUUAACACAUGCAAGUCGAACGCCCCGCAAGGGGAGUGGCAGACGGGUGAGUAACACGUGGGAACGUACCCUUUGGUUCGGGAUAACUUGGGGAAACUCAAGCUAAUACCGGAUAAGCCCGUAUGGGGAAAGGUUUACUGCCGAAGGAUCGGCCCGCGUCUGAUUAGCUAGUUGGUGAGGUAAUGGAUCACCAAGGCGACGAUCAGUAGCUGGUCUGAGAGGAUGAUCAGCCACACUGGGACUGAGACACGGCCCAGACUCCUACGGGAGGCAGCAGUGGGGAAUAUUGGACAAUGGGGGCAACCCUGAUCCAGCCAUGCCGCGUGAGUGAUGAAGGCCUUAGGGUUGUAAAGCUCUUUUACCCGGGACGAUAAUGACUGUACCGGGAGAAUAAGCCCCGGCUAACUUCGUGCCAGCCGCCGCGGUAA